This is a long non-coding RNA of Tripterygium wilfordii, 1586 nucleotides long. RefSeq lists it as uncharacterized. The transcript has 8 exons. NCBI's taxonomy places the organism in Eukaryota, Viridiplantae, Streptophyta, Magnoliopsida, Celastrales, Celastraceae. The record is from RefSeq and is a predicted model, not a curated record.
UUAAAUUAACCCAAUUCCUCUCUCCCUCCCUCCCUCCAAGAAUUGGGAUUUGGGAAUGGCCGCCUUGGCUAUUUUCUGUGAGAAAAAGUCCUUCUCGUAGACUGCGAACAAUUACCAGAAGCCGAAACCUCCAUUGCUCAGUCCGCUUCGAUUUCGUUCCAAAAUUAUCUCCUCAAAAGAACACCACAACUUCGCUUGAAAGUUCAGCUCAAGAGACACAAAAGCCUCUCUUCCUGGCAAGCCAGUCGGUAGUCCAGAUCCGGUUCUUCUCAAUCGAAUUCGUUCUCGGUUUUCAUUCGCCAGAUAAGAGACGGAUUUAAGGUUGACGAAUUGGGAGUAGAGAUUUUGUCAAUUGCUUUUCCUGCUGCGUUGGCUCGUGCGGUUGAUCCCCUCACAUCGUUGGUUGAUAGUGCUUUUGUCGGUCACUUAGGAUGAUCGGUUGAACUGGCAGCAGUCGGGAUAUCAGUUUCGGUCUUCAACCUGGUAUCCAAAUUGUUUAAUGUUCUCCUGCUCAACAUUCACCACAUCUUUUGAUGCUGAAGAGAAGGCACUGGUUAACAAGGGAGGUGAUGGCGUGAUGGUUAUAGUUUAGUUGGUGAUGUUUGUUGCAGGAUCUCAGCCAAUGAAUGCUCUUGCAUUGUUCUUGAUGGACUCUUCCGUGGGGUUUCAGACUUUGGAUAUGCUGUGUACUCUAUGUUGCAGGUUGGGAAAUCAUUGGUCUUCCUGCUUUUGGCUGCCUCGUACUUGGUCUUGCUAAAAAAUAUUUGUCAAGUCAACUCUGUAUCUCAAAAACCAGGAGUUUAGUAAUUUGACUUGAAUAGAUUUUUGAAUCUCCCCUUUAAAUACCAGAUUUCUCUCCUAAUCGUACAUAUGAAUCUUUUCCAGGAUGUGCAUGAAAACAGGACCAUGGGAAGAUUGAGCAAGGAGGUAGCUGAGGUGAUCAUCGAGGUUACAGGACAAGGCACAUGAAGGUUUGAAAUGCUGAGGACACCAAUCAAAUAAGCAUUGUUCCUGUGACAUCGUUGUGGUACCAUGAGAGUUGAAAAGCAGUUUCAAGAUUGCUGGAUUAACUGGCUAGAUGGGCUUGCAGAGAGCUGUUAACAGUCUGGAUUCAUAUUUUAUAUGGGACUGGAGAUCGAUAGUCAACUAUUGCUCACAGCCGCAGUAGUGAGGUUUCCUUUGCUGUUCCUCUCCCAUUAUGGCCAUCUCAAAUUCAACAUCUUUGGAAGGGACAUAACUAGAUAUACGUACUGGAGCAUCAUGCAAGUGAUCAUAUCUGUCCUUGAAACAACUAUGGCUACUGUGGUCUAUGUUUUCAGAAGGCUCACCGACUUCAUUUCUCCACGUAGCUGGCCUCCCUGCUUCAGCAUGAUUAGAAGUUCUGGAUCUAUUUCUUCCUUUAGUAUAGAUGUCUCAACCUCAACAUCAGCAAAUUCACGAUCAGUUUAUACUCGAGGACUCAACUCAUCAGGUUUUUCCUUAGAUAAUAUUUGAAUCGUCUUCGAUUCCUCACCACUGCCAGCUUCACAACUUCUUGUUACCCUCAUAGAUCCAGUAGAUGAUCUUUCAGUUGUUCUUGAAGCUGG